GCCUUGUCACGAGUUCUAGUAUGGUGGUUAUUACACUGGGAUUGUAAUCGAGUGGGCUCGGGUUCGAAUCCCGAGUAAGGCA
Molecule: non-coding RNA, 82 nt
Organism: Trichonephila clavipes
Lineage: Eukaryota; Metazoa; Arthropoda; Arachnida; Araneae; Nephilidae
Source: the annotation of a GenBank genome assembly